UGGGGAAUAUUGGACAAUGGGGGGAACCCUGAUCCAGCCAUGCCGCGUGUGUGAAGAAGGCCUUAUGGUUGUAAAGCACUUUAAGCGAGGAGGAGGGUACUGGUAUUAAUACUACCAGCUACUGGACGUUACUCGCAGAAUAAGCACCGGCUAACUCUGUGCCAGCAGCCGCGGUAAUACAGAGGGUGCGAGCGUUAAUCGGAUUUACUGGGCGUAAAGCGUGCGUAGGUGGUUCGUUAAGUUGAAUGUGAAAGCCCCGGGCUCAACCAGGGAACUGCAUCCAAAACUGGCGAGCUAGAGUAGGGCAGAGGGUGGUGGAAUUUACUGUGUAGCGGUGAAAUGCAUAGAUAUAGGAAGGAACACCAGUGGCGAAGGCGACCACCUGGGCUCAUACUGACACUGAGGUGCGAAAGCGUGGGGAGCAAACAGA
Molecule: ribosomal RNA, 430 nt
Filed under: Pseudomonadota bacterium
Lineage: Bacteria; Pseudomonadati; Pseudomonadota
Description: Proteobacteria bacterium partial 16S ribosomal RNA
Rfam family: Bacterial small subunit ribosomal RNA
Source: RNAcentral